AUUGAACGCUGGCGGCAGGCCUAACACAUGCAAGUCGCACGAGUGGCGGACGGGUGAGUAAUGUCUGGGAAACUGCCUGAUGUAGGGGGAUAACUACUGGAAACGGUAGCUAAUACCGCAUACCAUCGGAUGUGCCCAGAUGGGCUUAGCUAGUAGGUGGGGUAAAGGAUCACCUAGGCGACGAUCCCUAGCUUGGCUGAGAGGAUGACAAGCCACACGUGAACUGACACACGGUCCAGACUCCCACGGGAGGCAGCAGUGGGGAAUAAUGCACAAUGGGCGCAAGCCUGAUGCAGCCAUGCCGGGUGUAUGAAGAAGGCCUUCGGGUUGUAAAGGACUUUCAGCGGGGAGGCGUUACCCGCAGGAGAAGCACCGGCUAACUCCGUGACAGCAGCCGCGGUAAUUC
This 406-nucleotide ribosomal RNA is filed under the name uncultured bacterium. RNAcentral's name for it is "partial 16S ribosomal RNA". It matches the Rfam family "Bacterial small subunit ribosomal RNA", at positions 30 to 526 of the family's 1533-position model. The record is from RNAcentral.